UAGACUUUCUCAGACAGAUUUCUUUUAACUCUUCUGCCCUGACUCCAGUCUUCACUGAGAUGCUGCCUUGCACUUAGGGAAGGUUCACAUGCCUCAGGGAUCUCUCUCUCUCAGAUUUCUUGACUUUCCCUCAGUCUUCAGUAUAGUCCUCCUCUGUGCCUGGUGAAGACCUGUGGUAAAGUGCUGGCAGAGAGGAAGCUAAAUCACGUAAAAGUUAAGAAACAGCUCAGCGUUUCACAGCUAGUAAGUAACAGAGAUGGGCUUGAGACCCAGAUUCGCAGGAUCCGGGUCUUGUGCUCAUCACGACUCUGCUAUGGUGCCUCCCUUGAAAGCAUCUUAGUGCUUUCAUUGUUGUUUUUGUUAUUGUUAUUCUUCUAUUAUUUUGUACCCCCUUGGUGGAUAGUGGCUGUGAAUUUGUAGUUGUUGGUGUGUUUCUUCUGGAGCUUAAGC
This 450-nucleotide long non-coding RNA is filed under the name Pan troglodytes (chimpanzee). RNAcentral describes it as "long non-coding RNA NONPTRT013027". Lineage: Eukaryota; Metazoa; Chordata; Mammalia; Primates; Hominidae. The record is from RNAcentral.